CCAAAACAUGGUUUAGGUCGCCCAGAUCUUGAGUGCUAAACUGAACUGAACUGAAAGCCAAUUCGGAUCCUGUGUUCCGGACACCUAGAUAUGAGCCCGAAUGUUUACCAGGUGUUUAGUGUGGGUUUUGACACGUGUCUAGUGGUAGGUAAUGUCCGCCGGACCAGGUUAUGGGCGCAACAUACCACAAGCAGAGGAACCAACAAAGGAGUGCUGUAUUGACCUGAAAGUUUCGGACGCCCAGAAGUGGGUUUCGGGCGCCCUAAAGUGCAGAGUUCUAUAGGGAUAGCAAGUUAGUGUUUCUUGUUCUUGGGGCUUAUCAGACCAUUCCACCUCUUUAUAAAAGUAAGGGAUCGACCCCCUGAGAUGGUUUUUCACCCUCUUUCACAGUGAAUCCUCGAAUUUGCACUUUAAUCCCUCAAAUACUCCAAAUUACCCAAUGACACCUUGAGGAUUGCAGUUCUAGCAGUUUCCAGCAGCAACCUUUGGCAUUUUAGCUCGUGUGCGACGUAGGAAGCUCCGAUUGCUGCGAAGCUUGGUUUGGUGGUUAGUAGACUUCUUGGAGUUUUUGUGGAGUCCUUUUUGACAGCAUUUGAUUGAGAUUUGUAUGGUGAAUUUGCUAUUUUUCUGAGCUAUUGGUACAAUUGAGCUGAAAUUGAAAUUUUUAUGGUUUCUUGGAUCAAUUCUUGGAGGAAGCUGGAAUUUCGACCUGAGAAUAUUAUUCCAUCAUCCUCCACUAGUUUUGGGACUUUUCUUUACCUAAAUUAUGGAUUGGAAGAUCCUUAGAGAGUGUCGUGGCUGGUUGAAACUAUGCUUGGUAGGGCUUUCCAGCGACUUCCCAACCGUGUCAGACUCGCGCUAGAGAGCCUUCUUCUUCAACUGCUGUUGUUGCCGAUACAGAUCAUGGAAAGAGAGUCGUGAGUUAGAUCCCUUCAGUGUUGCUGCUAAUAUAGAGAUAUACCAGCUACAGGUAGUGAUAGUUUUUGGAUUCUUAUACAUACUGAUGUUAGUAUCUCGUUGGA
Ananas comosus (pineapple) is the source of this 1022-nucleotide long non-coding RNA. RefSeq lists it as uncharacterized. The record is from RefSeq and is a predicted model, not a curated record. The transcript is spliced from 3 exons. Lineage: Eukaryota; Viridiplantae; Streptophyta; Magnoliopsida; Poales; Bromeliaceae.